RNA transcript from Manis pentadactyla (Chinese pangolin), 1835 nucleotides. It is a transcript of the gene named tumor protein p53 inducible protein 3, with no coding region annotated. The record is from RefSeq and is a predicted model, not a curated record. The transcript is spliced from 6 exons. NCBI's taxonomy places the organism in Eukaryota, Metazoa, Chordata, Mammalia, Pholidota, Manidae.
CCAGUGGCUAAAGGAAGGGAAAAUCUGAUUUGCCUGCACUAGCUUUGCAUUUGAAAUGAGGAGAAGAGUGGAGGGCUGGUUCGGUCGGCCCCACCCCUGGCCCCGGCCCUGCCCCAACUCCCAGGCCCCUCCGGACGGCCUAGGCAGUCCCGGGCUCCGGCGUGGGCCCCGCCCGAAGCUGAACGAGGCUGGCCGCCCCGCCCGCAGCGGAGGACCCGGCCCGCAGCAAGUAAGUCACGCGGGCUCCGGCCGGCGAGCUGGGCCGGGCGGCGGACCCCAACUCCCCGGGGUGUACUUGGCCGCAUGCUCUUCAUUGUGUAACUGCUCUACUGCAGCCACCCGGCACGGCCAUCCGCACUUCCUCCGGCCCCCGUCUGUGGCCUCUGUCGGGGCCCGUCUGGAGCAGCAGGGACCCGGGAGAAGGAGGGCGGGGGCUUCGGGCUCCCUGCCUGGCCCCACCUUGUCCUCAGAGAACAUGUUAGCUGUGCACUUUGACAAGCCGGGAGGACCAGAAAACCUCUCCGUGAAGGAGGUGGCCAAGCCAAGCCCAGGAGCGGGUGAAGUCCUCCUGAAGGUGGCGGCCAGCGCCCUGAACCGGGCAGACUUACUCCAGAGACAAGGCCAGUAUGCUCCACCCUCGGGAGCUAGCAGCGUUCUGGGACUCGAAGCAUCUGGAUACAUUGCAGAACUGGGGCCCGGCUGCCAGGGGCAGUGGAAGAUUGGGGACCCAGCCAUGGUUCUGCUGCCUGGAGGGGGCCAGGCUCAGUAUGUCACAGUCCCUGAAGGGCUCCUUAUGCCCAUCCCGGCAGGACUGACCCUGCUCCAGGCUGCAGCCAUCCCAGAGGCCUGGCUCACUGCCUUCCAGCUGUUACAUCUCUUGGGAAACAUUCAGGCUGGAGACUCUGUGCUAAUCCAUGCAGGAGCAAGUGGUGUGGGCACAGCUGCCAUCCAACUUGCACGAAUGGCUGGAGCUAUUCCUCUAGUCACGGCUGGCUCCCAGCACAAGCUUCAAGUGGCAGAAAAGCUCGGAGCAGCUGCUGGAUUCAAUUACAAAGAAGAGGAUUUUUCUGAAGCAACAUUGAAAUUCACCAAAGGUGCUGGAGUCAAUCUUAUUCUAGACUGCAUAGGUGGAUCCUUCUGGGAGAAAAAUGUCAAGUGCCUAGCUCUUGAUGGUCGCUGGGUUCUCUAUGGUUUGAUGGGAGGAGCUGACAUCAAUGGGCCUCUGUUUUCAAAGCUGCUUUUUAAACGAGGAAAUCUGAUCACCAGUCUGCUGCGAUCCAGGGACAAAAAGUACAAGCAAAUGCUGGUGAAGGCUUUCACAGAACAAAUUCUGCCCCGCUUCUCCACGGAGGGCCCCCAACGUCUCCUGCCUGUUUUGGACAGAGUCUACCCUGUGACUGAAAUCCAAGAGGCCCAUGCAUACAUGGAGGCUAACAAGAACGUGGGCAAAAUCGUCCUGGAGCUACCGCAAUGAAGGAGGGAGCAACACAGAAUGCGGAUACCUCUGGCCUUCCCAGAACAAACUUGGAGAAAAUUCACAGCAUGCAGGAAAGAGACCGGGAGCUACUGCAGACCCCCCUGUAACCCAUUGGUCCUCCCGGGCCUCGUGAACAGAUCUAUAUAAACCUGGGCUAAGAAAAUAAAAAGAGCGGAUUUGAAGGGCGGCGGGAUCACUGUGGGCGACCCCAGCGCGUGCACCGAGGCCACCAGGGCUGGGCGGAGUCUUUUCGAGAGGGAAUACGUCAGCACGUCUCGGCGUAAGAAGGAGAUGUUCCGGCGUGCCAUAAAGCUUCCGGCGGAGCCUGGGAGGUGGUGUCCUGCGUCUGACGCCGUGU